Molecule: ribosomal RNA, 408 nt
Filed under: uncultured bacterium
Lineage: Bacteria
Description: partial 16S ribosomal RNA
Rfam family: Bacterial small subunit ribosomal RNA
Source: RNAcentral
GACGAACGCUGGCGGCGUGCUUAACACAUGCAAGUCGAACGAAGUGGCGAACGGGAGAGUAAUACGUGGGUAACCUGCCCUCCUUUUUGGGAUAAGCCUUGGAAACGGGGUCUAAUAACGAAUAAAGGGGGAUGGGCGCGUGGCCUAUCAGCUUGUUGGUGGGGUGAUGGCCUACCAAGGCGGUGAGGGGUAGCGGGGAUGAGAGGGUGAACGGCGACAGUGGGACUGACCUACGGCCUAGACGACUCCGGGGGGGAGAAGAGGGGACUAUUGCACAAUGGGUGAAAGACCGAUGCAGCGAGGACGAGUGGGGGAUGAAGGUUUUAGAGUUGUAAAACUCUGUCGGUAUCGAACGGGUACGUGCAGAAGAAGCGCCGGCUAACUACGUGCCAGCAGCCGCGGUAAUAC